This 253-nucleotide ribosomal RNA is filed under the name uncultured bacterium. RNAcentral describes it as "partial 16S ribosomal RNA". It matches the Rfam family "Bacterial small subunit ribosomal RNA", at positions 524 to 776 of the family's 1533-position model. The record is from RNAcentral.
GACAGAGGGGGCAAGCGUGGCUCGGAAUUACUGGGCGUAAAGGGCGCGUAGGCGGGAUAGCAAGUCGGUCGUGAAAUCCUUCGGCUCAACCGAAGAACGUCGAUCGAUACUGCUGUUCUUGAGGGUUGCAGAGGAGACUGGAAUUCCCGGUGUAGCGGUGAAAUGUGUAGAGAUCGGGAGGAACACCGGUGGCGAAGGCGGGUCUCUGGGCAAUUCCUGACGCUGAGGCGCGAAAGCGUGGGGAGCAAACGGG